GUGGGGAAUAUUGGACAAUGGGCGAAAGCCUGAUCCAGCAAUGCCGCGUGAGUGAUGAAGGCCUUAGGGUUGUAAAGCUCUUUUACCCGGGAUGAUAAUGACAGUACCGGGAGAAUAAGCCCCGGCUAACUCCGUGCCAGCAGCCGCGGUAAUACGGAGGGGGCUAGCGUUGUUCGGAAUUACUGGGCGUAAAGCGUACGUAGGCGGCUUUGUAAGUUAGAGGUGAAAGCCCGGAGCUCAACUCCGGAACUGCCUUUAAGACUGCAUCGCUAGAACGUCGGAGAGGUGAGUGGAAUUCCGAGUGUAGAGGUGAAAUUCGUAGAUAUUCGGAAGAACACCAGUGGCGAAGGCGACUCACUGGACGACUGUUGACGCUGAGGUACGAAAGCGUGGGGAGCAAACAGGAUUAGAAACCCUAGUAGUCC
Molecule: ribosomal RNA, 425 nt
Filed under: uncultured bacterium
Lineage: Bacteria
Description: bacterial SSU rRNA
Rfam family: Bacterial small subunit ribosomal RNA
Source: RNAcentral